AUCCUUCUGUAGUUCAUCAGCAGGAUUGGGUUUUCACAUUUAUGUGUGAGACGUGCCUCCCUCAAACCUUGUUACAACUUUGGUUGGCACAUUACCUGUCUGAUG
Molecule: small nucleolar RNA, 105 nt
Organism: Lemur catta (Ring-tailed lemur)
Lineage: Eukaryota; Metazoa; Chordata; Mammalia; Primates; Lemuridae
Product: small nucleolar RNA U13
Exons: 1
Source: RefSeq, a predicted model, not a curated record